CUCCUGUUUUUAUUUGCUCUUCUAAUUAUUGUUAGCUUUGAGUGUCUGUUAAUAUGACACUUAAGACUCAGGUAAUCCUUGCCCAAAUGUCCCAAGUCUGCUUCCUGGACUUGAUAAGGCCUGGAUAAGCCUCUUCCCUAGUCUGUCUCCCUUGGGUUUCUUCUUUAUAAACUUCAAACCCUUUGCUCUUUUUUCUAUUCUUUCCUAUUUCUUUCUUACUCAUUCACAGGAUUUCCUUGUUACAGAUCUCCUGUGUGUUUUAGACAAAGCUUACUCUUACAUGCUGUUACCCAUUUCUUAAUUUUGUUCAUGGUGUCCUUUAUUAGAGAGAGACCUUUAAUCUUGAUGUAAUCAAAUCCAUCAUUUUUUCUUUUUUUGGUCUUAUGUUUUGUGCUUCUAAAAUACCUAGAAGCCUCGGGUCAUAAAACUAUUUCCUUCUAAGUCUGUAGUUUUAUAUUAGACAUUUUGACAUUAGACAUGGAUUAUUAUACAUAAUCAAUCUGAAGUGCCCCUUUGUAUGUGGAGUUAGGGAGGGGCCCAGUUUCCUUAUCUUCCCUACCGUGAGCUGCUUUUCUGAGCACCCUGCCUUCCCCUUAGCCUCGCAGCAUAGGGCUGACAUCCCUCGCACAUACGCCAGUUUGGGUGCUCCAAGGAAGGGAGGGGCAGUGGGGUGCAGGGGUCCAUGUCAGAUGUUCUUCUCACAUGGUACUCAGGACCAAGCCGCUCAGGACAGAUAAAGGCAGCACUGACAGACAAAAUGCUCUACCAAGUCAGAGGCAAGGACCAGGGCCCAAGCCUUGGUUUAAACUCUGACUUCGCCAGCUUCAAUCAACCUUCCACCGUUUAUCUGAGGGCUUCCGGGCACAGACCCCUGCUCUGGUGAUGGACAGUUAUAGUUAUGUCGAAAAAUGCACCUGUGUACGUAUCCCAUGUGGUGGAUAUAGUCCAGGGCCUUGAGCACCCCCUGCAGGAUGUAAGCAAUCGCCAGUUCAUUCAUGCCAUCCAUGAAGUGCGUGCAGAUGAGAUCCUUUGCAGAACCUGAAGAACACAAUUGUGGGGACAGAGGGGAAGGGUAACAGAGAAGGAAACCACACAUGAGCCAGCUGACGAUGGUGCUCUCAGAACACCUCUCUGCCAGGACCCCGUCCCACUCACCAUAUGCCAUGAAUGAUGUGACAACCCACAGCUCAUUGUCUGCAAUAAAGGUGGCUCGAUAUGGCAGGAUAUUGGGAUGGCUGAAGAGUUUAGAGACAUGAAGCUCCCCCUGAAAGCAAUGGUAAGUGGAAGUCAGAAUCAAGGGGCGCUGAAGAAGGACGCUCAACAUGGAAGUGGCAGCAGGAAUAAUAUGGGGACUUUAUUCUCCCUGGAGCACUGCUGAGCAUCCUGGGAGCAGCCUAGGCGGGUGGUCACCUGUAGGAGACAUGUCAGGCUCCACUGUCUCUGCAGGGAAGCCAGCACUGCUCUGCCAGCUUCUGCCCCAGUUUGGCUCCACCAGCCAAUCUUAAAGAGCCUCGAGAAAGAUUCUCCACCAACAGAGAAACUGCUAACAACAUCACAGAAGGUCCCAGCUCGUCACCUCGGAAACGAUGAGAACCAACUGUUGACUGAAGACAGGAAGUAAUAAGCCUAGCUCGACUUCAAGGAAUAAGUCAUAGAACUCCUUUUUAAGCCAACCAUUUGAACUGACUAUGGCCCAGGACAUCAGAAGCAUACAGCCAAAAAGAAAAAAUUGAAAAAGAGCUUCUCUCCUGAUAACAUAAUCUCUUUACCCAUACCUGGAAGCAAAGCAAACCAAAGCAAAGGAUACCCACAAAUGGCUGCUUGGUCACCCUGAAUCCUGCUAACUAGCUGACAGCCUUUGGCACACACUCAUCUGGAGAUGCAGAGAAGACCGUGGCAGUGCCCUGGAGCCUGAAUAUGGCAGUUCCUGGACUUUACCUAUGACGGUGAGUAGCUCAUAGCGCCCUCCCUCUGGCAGGAAGCUACUCAUGAUCUCCUGUUUAGAGAGGGAUGCUAUCGACUCUGAGCUCGCCUCAUUGGUCUAAAGAAAAAGAAAAAUAGGUUAAUAAGAGAAAACUGGGUGUGGGAUGGGAGUAGGCAGGUGGUAACUCAGACCCCUCAGGAGACUGGCAUCUAAACAUGCAAAUUCUGACUCUGGGUCAAAGAAAUUUUUCCAGCACUAUCUGAUGAGAAAUGUAAAACAUCAGAUGUUCAGUGUAGUCACCAGCACUAACAUCAGAGCCAGUAAGUAUGAGCACUGUCGAUGAAUGGGGGUGGGGGACAGGGCCAGUUCCAGUCAACUGUUGAUUUGCUUGUCCUUUCCAACAACUGGCUCAUUUGUUAAAAACUAUGAAAUUCUUAAUUGGGGAAAGAUGUCUGGAGAAAGGCAUAUUUAGAAAACAGAAGGGGGAUGGAGAGGUAGAGGUGGGGAGGGUUCUCUUGAGUUUCCUGCUCCACUGGGGUCCUAUGUGAAGGUCCUGACCACAAGAUUCCAAAGGUCACAUGUUGAAUCUUGCUACAGGGAAAAUGUGGCCAUAAGAAGUCCUCUCUUUAGCAAACCAAAAGCCCAGACCAAUUAUUCUCUGACAUUUCCAACUGAAGCAAAAAACAACAAAAAACAAAGAACAGCCAACACACAGGGCUGCAGGGCAAGGAACAGAGCUGUCAGGUCUCAGCCAGGAUCCCAGGCAGCGGAAGUAACCUGCUUCCUCAUUCCUGCUGCAAAUGAAGCUGGACUCCAGCCAAUUAGGAUGUGGGCAUCAUAACUCUGGCUUCUGAGGUCCAGCAAAAGGGGGCCCAGCAAAAUUGAUGGCAGACCAAUAGCUCUUCCUUUAGCUCAAAAGGCUGUUUCUUUCUCCCAGACCUACAUUUAUUUGCAUGAUUUGGGAGCCAUGUUUUUCUUUCUUUUGGAUUCUCUUUCUUCAGAUGUGUGUCCUAUUGAAAUGGAGAACCUUAGGCCAGCUCAAAUGUCAUAAACUAUAUACCUAAACCUGAGCUCAAGUUAUGAAAAAGUCUUUGUGAACACAUGAAAGGCCCCAGACUCAGUGCAAGCCCGAAGAGAGUGAAUUGAGAAUGUUCUGACAUGGUGGUACCACCUUGCUGGGUGUCCCUGACAUUUUAAGCACAUCUGGUUUCAGAAGAGUGCACACUGCCAAUGGGGAAAGAAACCAAGUGUCGUUCUUCCUUUUGCACCACUUACUAGAACACUAAGAGGAAUCUAGUCAAGCAAAAGAAAGCCCUGUCAGCACAUUUCUAAUUUAACUUUUACAUAUUUCUAAGACUCAUCUAUAUUGUUGUAUUUAGCCAUGCUAUACACACAUGUUGUGUAAUAGUCAUCUUGUUUAUCCAUUUUAGUGUUGAUGGGCUUUUUGGGUUGUUUUCAGUUCUGCUAUCAUGAAUAUGCUAUUAGAAACCCAUCUGAAUGUGUCUCCUGAUGUAUACAUAGAGCUAUUCGAAAGCUUAUAACCAGAAAUUGAAUUGUUAGGUUACCAUGUAAAUGAACAAUCAACUUUACAAGAUAAUGUAAAAUUUUCCAAAGUGGUUAUACUAAUCAAUACUCCCUCCAGCAUUAUAUGUAUGUUCUCAUUGACCCAUUUUCCUCUAUUACUAAAUCAGAUUAAUUUUUGCCAAUGUCAUUGUGGAUUUGAUUUACAUUUCCUUGAUUACUAAUAAAGUUGAACAUCUUUUUUCACAUA
Long non-coding RNA from Canis lupus familiaris (dog), 3695 nucleotides. RefSeq lists it as uncharacterized. The record is from RefSeq and is a predicted model, not a curated record. The transcript has 2 exons. NCBI's taxonomy places the organism in Eukaryota, Metazoa, Chordata, Mammalia, Carnivora, Canidae.